RNAcentral lists this ribosomal RNA (477 nucleotides) under uncultured organism. RNAcentral describes it as "partial 16S ribosomal RNA". It matches the Rfam family "Bacterial small subunit ribosomal RNA", at positions 332 to 801 of the family's 1533-position model. The record is from RNAcentral.
UACACUCCUCGGGAGGCAGCAGUGGGGAAUUUUGGACAAUGGGCGAAAGCCUGAUCCAGCAAUGCCGCGUGAGUGAAGAAGGCCUUCGGGUUGUAAAGCUCUUUUGUCAGGGAAGAAACGGUGAAAGCUAAUAUCUUUUGCUAAUGACGGUACCUGAAGAAUAAGCACCGGCUAACUACGUGCCAGCAGCCGCGGUAAUACGUAGGGUGCAAGCGUUAAUCGGAAUUACUGGGCGUAAAGCGUGCGCAGGCGGUUUUGUAAGUCUGAUGUGAAAUCCCCGGGCUCAACCUGGGAAUUGCAUUGGAGACUGCAAGGCUAGAAUCUGGCAGAGGGGGGUAGAAUUCCACGUGUAGCAGUGAAAUGCGUAGAUAUGUGGAGGAACACCGAUGGCGAAGGCAGCCCCCUGGGUCAAGAUUGACGCUCAUGCACGAAAGCGUGGGGAGCAAACAGGAUUAGAUACCCUUGUAGUCCCAUGAU